GGAGGUGUGGUGAAGUUGGUUAUCACGUCGCCCUGUCAAGGCGAAGGCCGCGGGUUCGAGUCCCGUCACUUCCG
This 74-nucleotide transfer RNA is filed under the name Candidatus Haliotispira prima. Its description in RNAcentral is "Spirochaetaceae bacterium SP-2023 tRNA-Asp". It matches the Rfam family "tRNA". Rfam says of the family: Transfer RNA (tRNA) molecules are approximately 80 nucleotides in length. Their secondary structure includes four short double-helical elements and three loops (D, anti-codon, and T loops). Further hydrogen bonds mediate the characteristic L-shaped molecular structure. tRNAs have two regions of fundamental functional importance: the anti-codon, which is responsible for specific mRNA codon recognition, and the 3' end, to which the tRNAs corresponding amino acid is attached (by aminoacyl-tRNA synthetases). tRNAs cope with the degeneracy of the genetic code in two manners: having more than one tRNA (with a specific anti-codon) for a particular amino acid; and 'wobble' base-pairing, i.e. permitting non-standard base-pairing at the 3rd anti-codon position. Lineage: Bacteria; Pseudomonadati; Spirochaetota; Spirochaetia; Spirochaetales; Spirochaetaceae. The record is from RNAcentral.